RNAcentral lists this ribosomal RNA (450 nucleotides) under uncultured bacterium. RNAcentral's name for it is "bacterial SSU rRNA". It matches the Rfam family "Bacterial small subunit ribosomal RNA", at positions 354 to 796 of the family's 1533-position model. The record is from RNAcentral.
GUGGGGAAUUUUGGACAAUGGGGGCAACCCUGAUCCAGCCAUGCCGCGUGCGGGAAGAAGGCCUUCGGGUUGUAAACCGCUUUUGUCCGGAAAGAAAAGGCAUCCCCUAAUACGGGGUGUCCUUGACGGUACCGGAAGAAUAAGCACCGGCUAACUACGUGCCAGCAGCCGCGGUAAUACGUAGGGUGCGAGCGUUAAUCGGAAUUACUGGGCGUAAAGCGUGCGCAGGCGGUUCGCUAAGUCUGAUGUGAAAGCCCCGGGCUCAACCUGGGAACUGCAUUGGAAACUGGCGAGCUUGAGUGUGGCAGAGGGGGGUGGAAUUCCACGUGUAGCAGUGAAAUGCGUAGAGAUGUGGAGGAACACCGAUGGCGAAGGCAGCCCCCUGGGCUAACACUGACGCUCAGGCACGAAAGCGUGGGGAGCAAACAGGAUUAGAAACCCCUGUAGUCC